GUGAUUAUUGACUUUUAAAUUGAGAAUAAGCAGUUUUUUAUUAUAGAUCUGCCAGACAGGAAUUCCCACCGUGUCUCUAUGCCUUGGACUUCGGUGCCUUCCCCUCCAUCCGCAGGAAUGAGGAGGUGCAGACAAGCCCCUGUGACCUGGCCAGCUGCUGGGCCAAUCAUCUCCUGACACGCUGCCUGCCGCCUAGCACCACAGAGGGGGAGAGCCGGCCCUCACCAACGCCCAGGCCUGCAGAUGCCGGGCUUUCUCACGCCAGCCCACACCCUUGUGCUGAUGAGCUAACGAGCCACGACUCAGGAAAUCCCCCUCACGUCCCGCUAUUGACACGACCCAGGCUCGAACCUGCGACACCUGGAUUGCGUACUGCAAGCUGCCAUCCGAACCUUUCGAAUCAGGAUUCCCGGGUAGAACACGUGUGUGUGAUUCCUUUAACACGUCUCAGACAUGCCUGCUGAAAUAUAGCAGCACAUACAGCGAGGGGAACAUUGUGUUUCUGAAGCAGACGAGAGUCCUUCUAUUAUUCCUUUUUCCUCUCAAAGCAAAUGGAAAGACUUUAUUUCCCCUCUUGCCUUGAUGGCAUUUGAUAAGAAUAAAAUGUUCUAUUUUCUCCAUAUGCUCCUCAUCUAUAGCACCAUAUGCCACAAUGUUGUGUCAAUGUGUAUCGCACUUUAAAGACUGCAUUCUGUUUAAUUUCUGUAUAUUUUUCCAUCCAC
This 722-nucleotide long non-coding RNA is filed under the name Lepisosteus oculatus (spotted gar). Its description in RNAcentral is "lncRNA (ENSLOCG00000021559.1)". The record is from RNAcentral. Lineage: Eukaryota; Metazoa; Chordata; Actinopteri; Semionotiformes; Lepisosteidae.